RNAcentral lists this long non-coding RNA (238 nucleotides) under Elaeis guineensis (African oil palm). RNAcentral's name for it is "long non-coding RNA (EGUI_LNC073468)". The record is from RNAcentral. Lineage: Eukaryota; Viridiplantae; Streptophyta; Magnoliopsida; Arecales; Arecaceae.
ACCCCGUUAAGGACAGUGGAAAAAUCCUCACUCGAACAUAAAAAAAAGGAGGAGAGAGAAAAAGGGAAAGCGGCGAGCCCCACCUGUGAUAAGAAAAAAUCAAAUUACAUCAAAGACACAAGGAACCUCAUCUCAACGAGGAAGGAUACUCUUGUCAAAAACACUCAGUCUCCAAGAGGGAACCCAACAUCGGUAGGAGAAAAUCGACUUCCUCAAGUUAACGAGAAGUUCGGGCCCC